This 295-nucleotide long non-coding RNA is filed under the name Ananas comosus (pineapple). Its description in RNAcentral is "long non-coding RNA (ACOM_LNC010699)". The record is from RNAcentral. Lineage: Eukaryota; Viridiplantae; Streptophyta; Magnoliopsida; Poales; Bromeliaceae.
UAGUGCGUGUGUAUAUAUAUAAUUAAUUUUAUUAAACAAAUUCUUCCAUUAUUUUAUUUCCCUUCUAUUUAUUUUUUAAAAUUAUUUUGAUAUAUUUAUCAUAAAUCUUUUUUUGCAUAAAUCUUUAUAAAAUAAGUUGUCGUUUUAAUAAAUUUUAUUUAAAUAAAAUUAACUAUUAAAUUAUUUUUAUAUAAUUUUUAUUUAAUUAAUAAUUAGAUUUAUAAAAUUAUUUAAAAAUAUAAAAAACUAAAAUUUAUUAAAAAAUAUUUUUAAAUUCCCAGCAUCGCGCGGGUAU